RNAcentral lists this unclassified non-coding RNA (299 nucleotides) under plant metagenome. RNAcentral's name for it is "partial contains small subunit ribosomal RNA, internal transcribed spacer 1, and 5.8S ribosomal RNA". The record is from RNAcentral.
UUUCCGUAGGUGAACCUGCGGAAGGAUCAUUAUAGAAUUUCGUGGGGAAGGAAGAUGAGGAGUGGCGACGGUCGCCGGCUUCCCCGUGUGUGAAGCACGUCCACGCCUUGCUUUUCGUUGACCUUUCUCUUAAUCUCACACCUGUGUACCCUUUGUAGGUCCUCUAAAGAGGAUCUAUGUUUUUAUCGUCACUCGCAUCGUAUGUCGAUAGAAUGUAACAUGAUCGUCGAUCGGCCUCGCGGUCGGGUGGCGGUCUAAAUAAAUAAAUACAACUUUCAGCAACGGAUCUCUUGGCUCUC